Molecule: ribosomal RNA, 470 nt
Filed under: Ruegeria lacuscaerulensis
Lineage: Bacteria; Pseudomonadati; Pseudomonadota; Alphaproteobacteria; Rhodobacterales; Roseobacteraceae
Description: bacterial SSU rRNA
Rfam family: Bacterial small subunit ribosomal RNA
Source: RNAcentral
GGCAGCAGUGGGGAAUCUUGGACAAUGGGGGCAACCCUGAUCCAGCCAUGCCGCGAGAGUGAUGAAGGCCUUAGGGUCGUAAAGCUCUUUCGCCUGUGAAGAUAAUGACGGUAGCAGGUAAAGAAACCCCGGCUAACUCCGUGCCAGCAGCCGCGGUAAUACGGAGGGGGUUAGCGUUGUUCGGAAUUACUGGGCGUAAAGCGCACGUAGGCGGAUCGGAAAGUUGGGGGUGAAAUCCCGGGGCUCAACCCCGGAACUGCCUCCAAAACUAUCGGUCUAGAGUUCGAGAGAGGUGAGUGGAAUUCCGAGUGUAGAGGUGAAAUUCGUAGAUAUUCGGAGGAACACCAGUGGCGAAGGCGGCUCACUGGCUCGAUACUGACGCUGAGGUGCGAAAGUGUGGGGAGCAAACAGGAUUAGAUACCCUGGUAGUCCACACCGUAAACGAUGAAUGCCAGUCGUCGGGUAGCAUG